ACAGAGGUGCCGAGCGUUAGGCGGAAUCACUGGGCUUAAAGCGUGUGUAGGCGGAUUUGUAAGUACCUUGUGGAAUCCCACGGCUCAACCGUGGAACUGCUUGGUAUACUGCUUAUCUUGGGUCGUCUAGGGGCGAGCGGAACAAACGGUGGAGCGGUGAAAUGCGUAGAUAUCGUUUGGAACGCCAAUGGUGAAAACAGCUCGCUGGGGACGUACCGACGCUGAGACACGAAAGCCAGGGGAGCGAACGGGA
This 253-nucleotide ribosomal RNA is filed under the name uncultured prokaryote. RNAcentral's name for it is "partial 16S ribosomal RNA". It matches the Rfam family "Bacterial small subunit ribosomal RNA", at positions 525 to 777 of the family's 1533-position model. The record is from RNAcentral.